UCGAGCGGCCCGAGCAGCCGGUUUCGCCCUGCCGCGCCUUGAUCGAGCAGGUGUAGUAGCGAUAGCGCCCGCCCUUGCCGGUGCGGAUGGUC
RNAcentral lists this transfer RNA (92 nucleotides) under Pararhodospirillum photometricum DSM 122. RNAcentral describes it as "tRNA-Ser". The record is from RNAcentral. Lineage: Bacteria; Pseudomonadati; Pseudomonadota; Alphaproteobacteria; Rhodospirillales; Rhodospirillaceae.